This 440-nucleotide ribosomal RNA is filed under the name uncultured bacterium. Its description in RNAcentral is "partial 16S ribosomal RNA". It matches the Rfam family "Bacterial small subunit ribosomal RNA", at positions 338 to 795 of the family's 1533-position model. The record is from RNAcentral.
CCUACGGGUGGCAGCAGUGAGGGAUAUUGGUCAAUGGGGGAAACCCUGAACCAGCCACGCCGCGUGAGGGAAGACGGUUUUCGGAUUGUAAACCUCUGUCCUCUGUGAAGAUAAUGACGGUCGCAGAGGAGGACGCUCAGGAUAACUACGUGCCAGCAGCCGCCGUCAUACGUAGGGAGCAAGCGUUGUCAGGAUUUACUGGCUUUAACGGGUGCGUAGGCGGCUUUGCAAGUCAGAAGUGAAAUCAAUGGGCUUAACCCAUGAGCUGCUUUUGAAACUGCAGAGCGUGAUUGGAGUAGAGGUAGGCGGAAUUCCCGGUGUAGCGGUGAAAUGCGUAGAGUUCGGGAGGAACACCAGUGGCGAAGGCGGCCUGCUGGGCUCUAACUGACGCUGAGGCACGAAAGCGUGGGUAGCAAACAGGAUUAGAUACCCCAGUAGUC